AUAGAUAGUGGGGGUGUUUUUCCCCGACCCCGGCAGUCUCGUCGUCUCCUUCUUCACCUCCGAUGCUUUCUUCUUUAUUCUUGAAUUUGACUGACCCAAAUUUGAAUGUCAGUCUAGUCGACUGACAACAUUUUGGCUAUUAUGAUAUCAGAAAGGCCACAUGCUCGCUCCGCCACUCGCCGGAGCUGCCGCCGCACCAGAGAAGAGAAAAAGCUUUGAGAGCAUCUCUCGAUCUGAGAGAAAGAAACAUACUAUAGUGGACGGGGGGCCGCGGCAGCAUGUGCGAUGCUCAAAGGUCUCCCAGAUCGAUGCCCGUGUGCGGCACCACCAUACUCUACUUCGCGAUCUCGUCCUGUGCUCCGCCGCCAGCAGCCCCCACUACCUCCUCCGUGCCUUUACACCAAGGAUCCAAUCAGCGCAAGAUCCAGCCCAAAUCCAACUGCCUCGCUACGAAUCGCGAGGACCCAAGCUCGGAUUUUGGAGAAGGGGGCGGAGGCUCAGAGGUGCCGGUGCGGCAGGCCCGGGGAUUUUUAUUUUCAGGUGGAAGCCGACGGCGCUCUGGCCGGUGAGGGCGUUGGCGGAGUAUCACGCGCCGUUGGAACACACGCCUCGCGGUGUCCGACGCCGGGGAGCUGCAGGUGGACUCUGGCGACGGCGGGCUGUGGUCGGUUCUUUUUAUCGACGCUGCCGGCCGGAGGACAUCGACUGCCCCGGGUAGCCGCUCUCCUCCGCCCGCCUUCGCAGUGGGGUUCCGGUUCAGCCGCGCGGUGGCUGACGCCUGACGGGCCCGGGGCGGUGCAGUUCACGUGCGCGGUUGGGGAGCCGGCGCCUGGGGCGGAUCGGGUGGCGCCGGCUUGAGAUCUGGGAACGCUUAUUGGAGAUGGGGAAAAAAUCUGAGCUUGACUGAAAAACAGAGCAAAAAUGGCGAUGGUCCUGGAUGCCUUUGCAUCGUACGUGCAAAAUAUGCUCAUCGAGACGGUGAACGAAGAGGUGCACAUGCUGCUUGGAGUCGGAGACGAGAUCGACAGGAUGGAUGUCAAGCUUAGGGACCUCAAGAACUUCCUUGCCGACGCUGACAGGAGAAACAUCACUGACAAGAGUGUCCAGGAGUGGGUGGGGCAGCUCAAGGGCGCCAUGUAUGAAGCUACCGACAUCCUCGACCUUUGCCAGCUCAAGGCCAUGGAGGAAGGUCCAUCCACUGUAGGUGUGGGGUGUUUCAACCCCUUGCUCUUUUGCUUAGAGGCAGGGUGCUUCAACCCCUUGCUCUUCUGCAUGCGGAAUCCAUCCCAUGCCCACGACAUCGCCACCCGCAUCAAGGCGCUCAACAAGAGGCUCGACAUCAUCAAGGAGCGAAGCGCUGCUUUCAGUUUCAUCAAUCUUGGUUCCUAUGAGGAUCGUGGGAGCAAGGUGCACAGCUUUCAUUCUCAGAAUACCAGCCGUGAGACAUCAGGGGAGUUCGACCGGUCAGGUGUAGUCGGAGAGAAGAUCGACCAGGACACAAGAAAGCUUGUCGAGAUCAUGCUCACUGAAAAGGGGGGCAGCACCAACAUCAUGGUGGUCGCCAUUGUUGGCAUCGGCGGGAUCGGCAAGACCACUCUUGCCCAGAAGGUCUUCAAUGACGAAACUGUUAAGGCUGAGUUCGAUGACACAAUAUGGUUGAGCAUUAACCAGGACUUUGACAAGGUUGAGUUACUCAGGACAGUCAUCACGCUCGCCGGGGGAGUACACGGAGGUGAAAAGGCGUUGGCUGUGCUUCAGCCAAUCCUUACUACUGCCUUGACCGGAAAGAAGCUAUUGCUAGUGCUAGAUGAUGUGUGGAGCCAUGGAGCAUGGGGCAAUGUGCUUGAAAUACCCUUGGCUAAUGUUGUGGCUCGAGGUAGCCGAGUCCUUGUCACUACUAGAGAUGAAAGAGUUGCCCGAGGGAUGAAAGCUGUUCUUCCUUACCAUCAUGUCGACAAAUUAGAGGAAGAGGAUGCCUGGUCAUUGCUUAAGAAACAGAUAGUCUCAAGUGAGACAAAUGGACGUGAAAUUGAUAUGCUCAAGGAUAUUGGGUUGCAAAUUAUAACAAAAUGUGAUGGUUUGCCUCUUGCUGUCAAAGUGAUGGGAGGACUCUUGUGCCAAAAGGAGAAAAAGCGCAGUGACUGGAAGAUGGUUCUAGAUGAUUCUAUGUGGUCAGUAUCUGGAAUGCCCGAAGAGUUAAACCAUGCAGUAUAUUUAAGCUAUGAAGAUUUACCUUCUAGCAUGAAACAAUGCUUUCUAUGCUACUCCCUUCUCCCAAAAAUUGCAUUAUUCGAAAGGGACAACAUAAUUGGCUUGUGGAUUAGUGAAGGAUUUCUUCACGGAGCCUCCGACGACUUAGAAGAACUAGGAAAUAAGUACUAUAAGGAGCUGAUACUGAGGAACCUCAUAGAGCCAAAUACAGAGUACGCUAAUCAAUCUGUCUGCACCGUGCAUGAUGUUGUACGCUCAUUUGCUCAAUUUGUGGCUAGAGAUGAGGCACUAGCAGCUCACAGUGGAGAAACUAGUAUUGUUAGUAAACUUCGUGCAAAGAAGUUUCUUCGGUUGUCUCUAGAAAGCAAAUCAUCAGAAUCAGACGGGCUAGAGUGGAGUUCUUUACAAGCACAAAGCACACUGAGAACACUAAUAUCAGUUGGACACAUAAAUUUGAAGCAUGGUGAUUCGUUGGUUAAUUUUCCAUGCAUACGUACUUUACAUAUAGAUUCUGCACAUGUUGUUACACUGGUUGAAUCUUUACAUGAAAUCAAGCACCUGAGGUACUUGUCCUUCCGCUACUGUGAUAUAUCUAGUCUGCCAGAUAGCAUUGGAGAGAUGAAAUUCUUGCAGUACAUUAACCUUGCAGGAUGCCAACAAUUUCUGAAACUUCCAGAUAGCAUUGUAAAAUUAGGGCAGCUAAGGUAUCUUAACUUGGAUAACACCAAUAUAAAUGGCAUACCUAAGGGGUUCCGUGUUCUAACAAAUUUGAGAAUAGUAUCUGGGUUUCCAGCCCAGGAAGAGGAUGAUUGGUGUAGUUUGGAAGAGUUGGCCCCUCUUUCUCGGCUCAAGAUACUUGGACUACAGGGAUUGGAGAAUGUAUCUGCUUCCUCAUCCGCAGCAAAGGCAAAGCUUAGCGAGAAGGUGCAUCUUACUGGCCUAUCCUUGAUCUGUGAUUAUAGAUUGUAUGUGUUGAUUGCGGAGCAAGGUACUAGUGUCUCUGAGGAAGAACAUCAAAAGAUUGAGAAGGUGUUUGAUGAGCUCUGCCCUCCGCCCAACUUAGAUUUUCUUUACAUUAAUGGAUAUUUUGGCCGUCGACUCCCAAGGUGGAUGAUGUCAUCAUCAGUUGUGGCUCUAAAGAGCUUGAGGACUUUGAUGGUUCACGACCUGGCUUGCUGCACAGAGCUUCCUGAUGGCUUGUGUCAGCUUCCUUAUUUGGAGUUCAUUCAGAUCUCUCGUGCACCAAUCAUCAAGCGUAUUGGCCCUGAAUUCAUGCAGCCCUACCACCACCAUGGUCUUCAUCCAACCCAGGUGGCUGUUGCCUUUCCGAGAUUGAGCAAGAUGUUCUUAACGGAAAUGGUGGAAUGGGAGGAAUGGGAAUGGAAGGAGCAAGUGCAAGCCUUUCCUGUCCUGCACGAGCUUGUGCUAAAGCACUGCAAAUUGAAGCGUCUUCCUCUUGGCCUUGCCUCUCAGGCAAGGACUUUGAAUAAAUUAUUCAUACAAUAUGUCUAUGGUUUGAUCUCUGUAGAGAACUUUCCAUCUCUCGUCGAGCUGCAUGUCACUCUAGACUUUGACCUGGAGAGGAUAUCUAAUCUUCCCAGGCUGCAGAAGCUUGCAAUCGGCGGGUGCUCAAAGUUGAAGGUGCUGGAGGGUGUUCCCUCACUCCAAUGGAUCAUGCUCGCGGAUGCAGACAUGGAUACACUCCCAGAAUACAUGGGAAGUAUAUGCCCAAGGUAUUUGGAGCUACUCUGUGGCCUAGGGCUGCUCACUUCUUUAGCCAUGGGACAAUCUGGCCCCGAGUGGGACAAGUUCAGCCAUGUUGGGCAUGUCAAGGCGUAUGCACAUGAAGAAAAUAAUAGGAAUGAAUGGUAUGUCUUGUACACAGCUGACCCCUACAACUUGGAAACAAAUGCCAGCCGUUCUUUCAUGUCUAGAGGAACCUUAUGUUCGUUUGUGGAUGCCCAAAGGUUUGAGUAUGUCUUCAAAAUGACAAGAAAAACCUUUAGUUACAUCUGCAGCUUGGUGAAGUGGGCAUCACUGAAAGAUAUGGACAGCUACACCUUUGUUGACGGGAGGGUGCUGUCUUUAGAAGAUCGGGUAGCCGUUGCUCUGAGAAGACUGCACUCUGCUGAGCUACCAGAGACCUUUGGAUCCUCUGUUGGUGUGAACGAGUCAACCAUCUCGUUGGUAACUGAGAGGUUUGUUGCUGCUGUGUACACCCACGCAAUGCAGAGCUGGCCAGGCUCCAGCGAAAUGGAUAAGAUCAAAUCCAUGUUUGGCAAGAUCUACAAUAUGGAAAACUGUUGCGGUGUUAUAUGUACAACCCACAUCCCAUUUGGACCAAACUGGGAUCAUGAGAAGAAUGUCAGCAUUCUAAUGCAAGUCGUCGUCGAUCCAAAGACGAGGUUUACAAGCAUUUGGGUCGGAUCAGCAGGUAAUGUGAACCGGUUGGCCGUUUUGCAUGACUCUCCAUUCUUUGAGCAGUGCGAGAAGGGGGUUCGCCUGAAUGGCAGCAAGCUGAAGGUAGGAUUAGAUGGAUCAGAAGUCGGGGAAUACAUAAUUGGUGAUGCAGGACAACCUCUUCUCCCCUGGUUGCUCACACCUUACCAAGAAGAAGACCACUCAGACUCCAACUCGGAGUUCAAUAGAAGACACUCCGCAGCCACAUCCUGCAUGCUGAAGGCGCUGGCGAGGUUCAGAAAUACAUGGAAGUACCUGCAGGAAGAGACAUGGCGUCCGGUCAGUCCAGACACUCUGUGUAAGACAAUCUAUGCCUGCUGCUUGUUGCAUAACAUGGUCAUAGAUAUGGGGGAUGAUGGAGUCAUGCGGAACAUUUAUGGGAAUUACCGUGAGGAAGUGCGCCAGAUAGCAAACGAGGACCCCGUCAGGGCGAGGGACAUGCUGUCGGAAUACUUCUUGAGCACUAUGUCAUCCGAAUCAGGAGUAUUUACUCGGAACAGUGGAUGCAGAGGAGGAUGAUGAAGUAGGCGCAUCAGGCUCAGAGGAUGAAGACAAGGAAGAAAAGGCAGAGACAAUAACAGCAGAUGGAGGCAACAUUAGUCAAUAGAUCAUCAUCUAGAAAAACUUCUUCCAGCUUCAUCCUAAGUACUACUUCUAGCACGCUGUGGAGGCUUUUAAAUGCAUGAAUUCAGAGCAGCCCUGGCAAGUGAAGCUUUGCAUUUGUCACUAGUGCUAGCACUCUCUGCUUUGGAGUCUUGUUAUUCCUUCCAUGAAGCAAUAUCACACUUCUCUCCUUGGUUUAUUCUUUUGAUAUGGAAAUGUUGUUUUUCUUUAAAAAAAAGAGAGGAAAACCGCCGGCCUCUGUACCUUUUAUAGAGGGAAAAGAGGUGCCCAUUCAAGGUGAAAGAUAAGCCGGCGUCCCGCUGGUUGGAGUUUUGGAUGCAUGAGUCCGGAGCAGCCCUGGUAAUGGAGCCAGAGACAACUUUGGUGCUGCAGCAUGAAUUGAAAUCAGACAAUUUUUUAAAAGUUUGGUCAUCUACCUAGUUGGGCAAAGGCAAGUGUUGUUAUGCAGUCUGUAGUUCUGUACUGCAAACACUACUGUAGAAAGUGCAAUGCUGCAAAGUGGCAUGGUGGAAAAUUCAAAACCAAAUACACCUGAAGACAAUACUGUAGAAAGUACAAUAGUGCCAUCUUAUUGAGCUGAUUGGCAUGCAAAAUGUACAAUUCGGUGGUGGUACAAUACAGCUAUUAGUCAAGACCAA
Molecule: RNA transcript, 5933 nt
Organism: Triticum aestivum (bread wheat)
Lineage: Eukaryota; Viridiplantae; Streptophyta; Magnoliopsida; Poales; Poaceae
Gene name: disease resistance protein RGA2
Exons: 7
Source: RefSeq, a predicted model, not a curated record